This is a long non-coding RNA of Xenia sp. Carnegie-2017, 226 nucleotides long. RefSeq lists it as uncharacterized. The transcript has 2 exons. Lineage: Eukaryota; Metazoa; Cnidaria; Anthozoa; Malacalcyonacea; Xeniidae. The record is from RefSeq and is a predicted model, not a curated record.
UUGUUUUCACACUCUAUAGUUCAUACCUAAUUUUUCUCAUGGUGUUUUAGAGGAUUACUAGUGUAUAAGCUUCAGGGUAAGAAAAGUGCAUGGCAUGGCGAUGGAAGGGCCAGAAUUCAUGAACAUCGACACAUCAUGGAAAAAGAAAUUUGUGAAUUUGGCAGUUAUUUGUUGGUUGAUGGCGAGGCCGCUCUGAAUAAAGCGAUUUCAGAGCUUCGAGAAUACA